AGAGUUUGAUCAUGGCUCAGGACGAACGCUGGCGGCGCGCCUAAUGCAUGCAAGUCGAGCGACGCAUAUCUAGUUCGUAAGAACCGGGUAUGACGGAGCGGCGAACGGGUGCGUAACACGUGACCAAUCUGCCCCGAAGACUGGGAUAACCUCUCGAAAGAGUGGCUAAUACCGGAUACCCUCCUGGAACCGCAUGGUUCCUUGAGGAAAGGUUCAGGCGCUUUGGGAUGAGGUCGCGGCCCAUCAGCUUGUUGGUGAGGUAAUGGCUCACCAAGGCGACGACGGGUAGCUGGUCUGAGAGGACGAUCAGCCACACUGGAACUGAGACACGGUCCAGACUCCUACGGGAGGCAGCAGCAGGGAAUCUUGCGCAAUGGGCGAAAGCCUGACGCAGCGACGCCGCGUGGGGGAUGAAGGCCUUCGGGUUGUAAACCCCUUUCAGGAGGGAAGAAAAUGACGGUACCUCCAGAAGAAGCCCCGGCCAACUACGUGCCAGCAGCCGCGGUAAUACGUAGGGGGCGAGCGUUGUCCGGAUUUAUUGGGCGUAAAGGGCUCGUAGGCGGCUUGACAAGUCGAUCGUGAAAACCCAGGGCUCAACCCUGGGACGCCGGUCGAUACUGUCAUGGCUAGGGGUCCGGUAGAGGAAAAUGGAAU
Molecule: ribosomal RNA, 654 nt
Filed under: uncultured Actinomycetes bacterium
Lineage: Bacteria; Bacillati; Actinomycetota; Actinomycetes
Description: bacterial SSU rRNA
Rfam family: Bacterial small subunit ribosomal RNA
Source: RNAcentral